GAGCCUAGCAGCUGCUCGCAGCAGCCCCGCAGCCGCCGCCAAACCCAGACCUCAAGUGGAUGGAUGCCUCUGGAAGUGUCUUCCUGAACGAACCCAUCAGGCAGUGGAAGGCUGUGGCAGGGCUAGUGAACUUAGAUGGGGCAUUCCUCUCCUGCAGUUGAGCUGGCUGGAGAGAUACUUUAGUCCUGCCUUCCCAGUUCCGCGCCCUGCACAAGCAGUUUUGAAAAAUUAAGUGCAAAAAAGCAUGACAAAGCACUAUGAGGUUGCCGUGCUCAGAUAAAACAGAAUGGAGCAGGAUCCGGGCUGCUCUCUACAUUGGGUUGGUCUUAUCAAGCGUGAAGUUUGGCGCAUUGCAAACCUAUUCAAGUGAUUAUCUGUUGAGGACCUCUCGAGCCAUCUCCAUCUCUGCAGCGGGCUGA
Molecule: long non-coding RNA, 419 nt
Filed under: Canis lupus familiaris (dog)
Lineage: Eukaryota; Metazoa; Chordata; Mammalia; Carnivora; Canidae
Description: lncRNA (ENSCAFG00040004747.1)
Source: RNAcentral